CGGGGGGCUCGCUAUAACGCCGCGAGCUGAGAUGAGAGGGGCAAACCUCUCGACCCGAAGAACCUGAUCCGGGUAAUGCCGGCGUAGGGA
This 90-nucleotide non-coding RNA is filed under the name Alkalispirochaeta americana. RNAcentral's name for it is "Spirochaeta americana TPP sequence". It matches the Rfam family "TPP riboswitch aptamer (THI element)", at positions 11 to 88 of the family's 105-position model. From Rfam's summary of the family: Vitamin B(1) in its active form thiamin pyrophosphate (TPP) is an essential coenzyme that is synthesised by coupling of pyrimidine and thiazole moieties in bacteria. The previously detected thiamin-regulatory element, thi box was extended, resulting in a new, highly conserved RNA secondary structure, the THI element, which is widely distributed in eubacteria and also occurs in some archaea. Lineage: Bacteria; Pseudomonadati; Spirochaetota; Spirochaetia; Spirochaetales; Spirochaetaceae. The record is from Rfam by way of RNAcentral.